GUGUGGUCUAGGGUCUUCAAAGUGAACGAAACAAACUGCAUAGAUCACCAGGUUCCAGCGUUUUCUGAAGAAUUUUUAUUUUAUUUUCCUUUUCUGACAUCCAUCUGCUCUCCUUCUUGAGCUUCCACAAACACUCUUUUUUUUAAAGCCAAUUGGCAACACAGCUGCACAUAAGUGGGCCAAGCCACAAUCAAACAGGUAAAAAUGAAACAAAGACAAAGUCUAAACAGAAACAAGAAUAAUAUUAAUUUAAUUUACAAACUCAACAUAAUGAAAUAAUGUACAAAAUAAACCCUGCCAAACAAGAUGACUCAAAAGUUACUUUAAAGAAAAACAAACAAAGCAAUACUAGAAAACCCUCUAAUUGGUAGAUCCCAGCAAGGUAAUCAGUGACAUCAUUCAGCCAUUCAACAGGAGACACUGGGCCGGCCACUCCCACACUCCUGACCUGCUGCAAAGCUACAAGGGAGAAUGGGCAAGAACCAAACCGAAAGCUCACCUGCAGCUCCAAGCCUCACUUGCCUGCUUGCUCUCUGCUCAUUCCACCCUGUACAGACCAGCGACUCGCCUCAGAUGCCUCUGCUUGCCCGGAUCCUGCUUGCCUUCUCCUCCCUCUAACCUUCAAGGGAACACAAACCUCAGACCAGACCCAAGAAGGGAACUCCUGCUGUACCUCUAUAUUACAGAUUGUAAAUACAUUUAAUUACUUUGCAUCCUGCUUCCAAUUCUGCAUGUGGUUCAGAAACCUUCGUUCAAACAUGACAAAAUUAAAGCUAAAACCCAACUUGGUCAGGGCUACCUUUGAUUAGUUAGCAUGUUCUGUUAGCAUGAACAUGGUUAAUUAUAAUGUAUACAGCAAUGAAUUGUUUUAACAAACUAAAUGAAACGGACAUUUCUUUGGGAAACAGUUACAACUAAAACUAAGGCUGUCAUUGUGAACAUGUUAACACAUGUAAUUAAUCUGAAAAUUUUAACACAUUAAUAUUACAUAAUUGAGAUUAAUUGAACUAUUAUUUUGAUGUAAAAGCCUCUCUCCCCCAGAGGGUUAACCUAGUUCACAGCUGAGCACUAUGAACCUGACACAUGGGGAGUGAUGUACAACAGGGCCAGGGUAACGUUAUCCACAACAGUAGACAUCAACAAAAAUUUUACAUAGGAAAUUAAUGGAACAUUUCUGAAUUAAUGUUUAACAGAAAAUAACUUCCUUUAUACCUUCGUGAAUAUCAAAGUCUGAACAAAUAAGAAUCUGAGACAUGUUUGGUUUGAGACAAAAUAUUUUCUUAAUCUUCUGAAAAUGUUUUUGAUAUGGGGGGGAGUUACCCAGGAUGGCACAAGAAAUGGGUGGAGCACCCAGCAACUAGAAAAUAAAUUAUAUCCUGUCAGUUGUCCCCUGAACAAGUUUGCUAAUACCUUAUACAGGUGCAGUGUUGUAAGCUGGAAAAAUUUGAAAUAAAAUUAUU
Molecule: long non-coding RNA, 1460 nt
Organism: Gambusia affinis (western mosquitofish)
Lineage: Eukaryota; Metazoa; Chordata; Actinopteri; Cyprinodontiformes; Poeciliidae
Exons: 3
Source: RefSeq, a predicted model, not a curated record